AAAUUGAAGAGUUUGAUCAUGGCUCAGAUUGAACGCUGGCGGCAGGCCUAACACAUGCAAGUCGAACGGUAACAGGAAGCAGCUUGCUGCUUUGCUGACGAGUGGCGGACGGGUGAGUAAUGUCUGGGAAACUGCCUGAUGGAGGGGGAUAACUACUGGAAACGGUGGCUAAUACCGCAUAACGUCGCAAGACCAAAGAGGGGGACCUUCGGGCCUCUUGCCAUCAGAUGUGCCCAGAUGGGAUUAGCUUGUUGGUGAGGUAACGGCUCACCAAGGCGACGAUCCCUAGCUGGUCUGAGAGGAUGACCAGCCACACUGGAACUGAGACACGGUCCAGACUCCUACGGGAGGCAGCAGUGGGGAAUAUUGCACAAUGGGCGCAAGCCUGAUGCAGCCAUGCCGCGUGUAUGAAGAAGGCCUUCGGGUUGUAAAGUACUUUCAGCGGGGAGGAAGGUGUUGUGGUUAAUAACCGCAGCAAUUGACGUUACCCGCAGAAGAAGCACCGGCUAACUCCGUGCCAGCAGCCGCGGUAAUACGGAGGGUGCAAGCGUUAAUCGGAAUUACUGGGCGUAAAGCGCACGCAGGCGGUCUGUCAAGUCGGAUGUGAAAUCCCCGGGCUCAACCUGGGAACUGCAUUCGAAACUGGCAGGCUUGAGUCUUGUAGAGGGGGGUAGAAUUCCAGGUGUAGCGGUGAAAUGCGUAGAGAUCUGGAGGAAUACCGGUGGCGAAGGCGGCCCCCUGGACAAAGACUGACGCUCAGGUGCGAAAGCGUGGGGAGCAAACAGGAUUAGAUACCCUGGUAGUCCACGCCGUAAACGAUGUCUACUUGGAGGUUGUGCCCUUGAGGCGUGGCUUCCGGAGCUAACGCGUUAAGUAGACCGCCUGGGGAGUACGGCCGCAAGGUUAAAACUCAAAUGAAUUGACGGGGGCCCGCACAAGCGGUGGAGCAUGUGGUUUAAUUCGAUGCAACGCGAAGAACCUUACCUGGUCUUGACAUCCACAGAACUUUCCAGAGAUGGACUGGUGCCUUCGGGAACUGUGAGACAGGUGCUGCAUGGCUGUCGUCAGCUCGUGUUGUGAAAUGUUGGGUUAAGUCCCGCAACGAGCGCAACCCUUAUCCUUUGUUGCCAGCGAUUCGGUCGGGAACUCAAAGGAGACUGCCAGUGAUAAACUGGAGGAAGGUGGGGAUGACGUCAAGUCAUCAUGGCCCUUACGACCAGGGCUACACACGUGCUACAAUGGCGCAUACAAAGAGAAGCGACCUCGCGAGAGCAAGCGGACCUCAUAAAGUGCGUCGUAGUCCGGAUUGGAGUCUGCAACUCGACUCCAUGAAGUCGGAAUCGCUAGUAAUCGUGGAUCAGAAUGCCACGGUGAAUACGUUCCCGGGCCUUGUACACACCGCCCGUCACACCAUGGGAGUGGGUUGCAAAAGAAGUAGGUAGCUUAACCUUCGGGAGGGCGCUUACCACUUUGUGAUUCAUGACUGGGGUGAAGUCGUAACAAGGUAACCGUAGGGGAACCUGCGGUUGGAUCACCUCCUUACCUUAAAGAA
This 1552-nucleotide ribosomal RNA is filed under the name Salmonella enterica subsp. enterica serovar Moero. RNAcentral describes it as "bacterial SSU rRNA". It matches the Rfam family "Bacterial small subunit ribosomal RNA". The record is from RNAcentral. Lineage: Bacteria; Pseudomonadati; Pseudomonadota; Gammaproteobacteria; Enterobacterales; Enterobacteriaceae.